UCUUUAUCAACCGAAAUAGGUUUUACUUAACGUGAAUUAAUAGGGAAUCGUGUGAGAAUCACGAACUGUCGCGCAACUGUAAGUAACCCCAAAGGUUUUUACCCAUAGCAAAUCCACUGUUCUAAUUUUUAGAAUGGGAAGGAAGGUAAAAAUGUUACAAGUCAGGAGACCUGCCUAUUUCGAAUUGACAAC
RNAcentral lists this non-coding RNA (192 nucleotides) under Cyclobacterium marinum. The record is from RNAcentral. RNAcentral also lists the same sequence under 1 other name. Lineage: Bacteria; Pseudomonadati; Bacteroidota; Cytophagia; Cytophagales; Cyclobacteriaceae.